GAUGAACGCUAGCUACAGGCUUAACACAUGCAAGUCGAGGGGAAACGGCAUCGAAAGCUUGCUUUUGAUGGGCGUCGACCGGCGCACGGGUGAGUAACGCGUAUCCAACCUGCCCAUCACUUGGGAAUAACCUUGCGAAAGUAAGACUAAUGCCCAAUGACAUCCCACGAAGGCAUCCGAAUGGGAUUAAAGAUUUAUCGGUGAUGGAUGGGGAUGCGUCUGAUUAGCUUGUUGUCGGGGUGACGGCCCACCAAGGCAACGAUCAGGAGGGGUUCUGAGAGGAAGGUCCCCCACAUUGGAACCGAGACACGGUCCAAACUCCUACGGGAGGCAGCAGUGAGGAAUAUUGGUCAAUGGGCGAGAGCCUGAACCAGCCAAGUAGCGUGCAGGAUGACGGCCCUAUGGGUUGUAAACUGCUUUUAUAAGGGAAUAAAGUGGGUCACGUGUGACUUUUUGCAUGUACCUUAUGAAUAAGGACCGGCUAAUUCCGUG
Molecule: ribosomal RNA, 492 nt
Filed under: uncultured bacterium
Lineage: Bacteria
Description: partial 16S ribosomal RNA
Rfam family: Bacterial small subunit ribosomal RNA
Source: RNAcentral